Papaver somniferum (opium poppy) is the source of this 512-nucleotide long non-coding RNA. RefSeq lists it as uncharacterized. The transcript is spliced from 2 exons. The record is from RefSeq and is a predicted model, not a curated record. NCBI's taxonomy places the organism in Eukaryota, Viridiplantae, Streptophyta, Magnoliopsida, Ranunculales, Papaveraceae.
AUUCAGUUCUUGCAUCGAGAUUUUUCGAGCGAGAGAGAUGGAGACCGAGAAAGGGAGAAGAGAAACACAUACAAAGAGUGUUUGAUCGAGAGAUUUAUGGAAUGCUAGAGUAAUUGAGAUUGUGAAUUAUCGCGAGAAGGGAGUCACAGAUGCAUAAGAAAUUGAAGCCUUAAUUCUGCCACCGAGAUGAAAAAAGACACUUUCUCCUUUCUUGUCCUCACUUGUGUUCUUGUGGCUGCACUUGGCUAGCUCAGGGAAGCAUGUCAUAGUCACACUUGGUAGAAGGGAAGCAACAAAAGUAUUGAAAAGUGUAUUCCAAGGAGAUGCUGGAUACUAGAUUGCAGAAGGCCAAAGGGUGCAGCUGUUCUUAUUUUAUGAGAGGAGAUGCUUGUUGUGCAUUUUUUUAAUAAUCAUUGCUUUAUCAUUUUCGUACGUAUUUUGUCCAUGAACUUAAAGAAAUACUGUAUAACUCUCUUUUUGAAAUACAAGUGAAUGUGCCACUCACUUUUACA